Camelus dromedarius (Arabian camel) is the source of this 4071-nucleotide RNA transcript. RefSeq lists it as uncharacterized. The transcript has 11 exons. NCBI's taxonomy places the organism in Eukaryota, Metazoa, Chordata, Mammalia, Artiodactyla, Camelidae. The record is from RefSeq and is a predicted model, not a curated record.
ACAGGCCGCCGUGGCCUCGCACCGCUGUGGGCUUCUGCUGAUGACGCAGCAGAGGUUUUUCCGCCUGGCGGUGUUCGGCCCCUCUGGCUUCACCGGCCAGCUCAUGACAGAGCAGGUGUCCCGGAGCGGACCUCCGACCUGCCGUGGGCCGCGCCGGCCGCUCCCCCGGAGAAGCUGCGGCGAGUGCCGGAGAGGCUGCCGUGAAGCCAGGAAGACCAACACUGUCAUCUGAAGUUGGAAUAAUAAUCUGUGAUAUCACUAAUCCAGCCUCACUUGAUGAAAUGGCUACACCGGCAACAGUUGUCCUCAAUUGUGUAGGACCCGAACUGGAGGAAAAAAAACUUUUGAGAGAAAGAUGAUGAAUCUGAUUUUGGACAUGCUGAAACUGAGGUGUCUGCCAGAUAUUUUUGAAUGAAGACAGGAAAUACGUACAAAAUAGUGGAAUUAUUUUUUUAAGUAAGUGAGGAAACCUGGCUGAAGAGGAAAUAGUGGAGGGAAAAUGAAGCCAAAGUGAAACUGGUUUUGCCCCAGGUCCUGUGCUCUGUGGGUCCUGACUUUUGUAACAGAGGCCACAGAUACGGCACCUUCAUCCCUGUGCAGCUCUGGAGAGAGAAGCCAGAAGUCAUCAGCGUGAUGCAGCUGGAGUCAGGACAGCAGGUACAUUGACUGUUAUGGAAAGUUUCCUGACCUUACAUUCAGGACCUGAGAUUACUCAGAAGUAUCAACUUCAUGAAGUCAUUGCCUAACUAUUAGAAAAGAAAGGAGAUAUUCAUGGUGUCUUUUUAAUAAUGCUAGAGAUUACCCGGAAGUAUCAACUUCAUGAAGUCACUGCCUUUCUAUUAGAAAAGAAAGGGGAGGUUCAUGGUGCCUUCUUAACCAGGAGGCCACCCACGCCCAGCUCCUGCUGUGCCUAGAAGACCUGUCAGGAAGGAUGCCAGGAGGGAACUGCAGAACAGUGACCGACCUUGGGUCACUGCUGGGCCAAGGCAGCAAGAAGCAACGAGUCCCUGUGGGCAGGAGGCCGGCAUGUGCACGGACAGCAGAGCAGAGGUGCUGGCACCAGGAGGCCAGCCGCUGCUGGCAGCCCCAGGCCGGCGUCCAGGCCCUGGAUGUUAGGAGCCACUGCUUCCCUCUUGGUCAUCUGAAGCCCUCUUUUUCUCCUGCCUCGGCUCAGAGUCCCUGUGACCUGGCCCCAGCCUUGCCUCUGGAUCCUGGCAUGCCGAGGAUUGGCCCGUGCCUUCCUGCCCAGCCCGUGGAACCCUGGCAGCCCCUCCAGCUAGGAUGAGGGGCCAGGCACUGCCCCAGGCACCCAUUGGAUUUUCCAUCCCCUGCUGUUGCUGCUGCUGGGGCACCAGGAGCGUGUGUCCUUGGGGGCAGACGUGGUUCCUGGGGCUGAGCCAUGUCCCACGCUGAUGCUGGGCAAGUUCUUGGGGUACUUCUUGGCAACUGCUGAGUUCCUUGCCAGCAUCUCAUGCUGCUCCUGGAUGCUGCGCAACCCAGACCCGCACCACCGCAAGCUCUACAUGAGGGUGGCCGAGGCACCACCUGCAGCAGCCCCGCCCGCAUCCGCACCUACCAGUUUGACUCCUUUGUGGAGUCCACACGCACCUACCUGGGCAGGGAGAGCUGUGACGAGGUGCUGAGGCUCUGUGACCCUUUGGGGCCCCUGGCCUUCCUGCAGGCCAGCAAGCAGUUCCUGCAGAUAAAGGGACAGCAGCCACCCCAGGACAGUGUCUGCAGGCCCCAGAGUGGGGCCCUCCUACUCCAGCAAUGACUUCUCCGUGGAGCACCUGGUCACGGGCAACGGCAGCUCCAGUGACAUGGCUGGUGGCCCUGAGAACUGCCUCACUAGCCUGACCCAGGACCAGGGCGGGGAUGCACUCCAGCCCUCCCCUACAUGGACUCUUGAAAAGCGUCUUGUUGUUGGGAGCUCUUCCUCCACCGUAUGAAGAAGGCCGGGCUCGCUUGCUGAAGAGAUGAGGAUCCACCUAGAGCCAGCACUAGCCAACAGACACAUGAGUCAGCCCCAGCUGAGCUGCCCAUUGACUGCAGGUGCAGAAGUGACCUUAGUUGAGACGCAGACUGCCCAGUAUUUUCUCAGCUCUGCUAAGGAAUCGAUCCCAGACAUCUGGCUGGUUCUGUGAUGUGUAGGUCUACUGCUUUAUCAGUGCCAUCCUACAGAGACGCUGAGAAGUCUCCUUUCAUACACAGACCAGCGCCUAGAGGACAUCACUGGGAAUGUGCACAGGUUUGGUUCCGAGAGAGGAGGAGAGCUCACGGGCAAUCUUCACAGACAAGCUGCAUGUGCAGGAAGCAGGACACGAGGCAAUGGACACGGGGAAAACGCACACUGGGAGCAGCUCUGCAAAACUGAUUCUGGCAGACUGGGGAGAAACAACAAUGAAAAAAUUCUAAUUUCAUCUUUCUGGACUGGCACAUGACUUGGGUACCUCUCUACAUAUUUGGAAAAGAGCUCGGCCUAGAUUUCUAGUUGAAAUGAAAAAAAAAAGUUCUUAAAAAAAAAGAGCUAGUUAGUAUUUUAGUAUUUAUACAAAAAUACUAUUAAAAAAGAAUAUAAUAAAGUGGCAGAUAAUGGAACACUCUAGGAAACAAAACAGCUUUUCAAGAAUGAUGAAAGGUGUUACUUAAUGUAUUAUGGGAAACAUGACUUAAAGCAAUCAUUUUUACAAAACAAAAGUACAACAAAGACAAACAAGAGUUUCAGAAAUAUAUGGGAAGCCUACAGAAAGAUGAGUCGGCAAACUACAGAAAAUAAAUAGAAAAGUAAAAGUAAUCAGAGCAAAAAAGGUGAAAUGGAAGUAGCACAAACAACACAAAGGCUAGACAGCACUGAGAUCACAUUAAAUUAUACUGAAGGGUACAGAGACCGUGAGCGACUCAAAACAAGCAAAUGGAAUGGAAGUGAGCAAGAGUUCAAAAGAAUGAGAGAGAAAAUUAUAAAUCAAAUAAACAUCAUCUUCAAGUUGCUUCUGCCCCUUUAAUAGAAAAGAACAAAUCUGACUCCAUACUAGAUCUGUUCCUCUGGCUUUAACUCUGUGCCCUGUUUUCCACGCUCAGUCUGGCCAGCUCUGCACCUUUUGUGAAACAAUGUUGCCUUUAGCCUGAAAUAGACAGGGGAGCCUGUUCUCAAGGCUCUGACCAUUAAGGAUAUUAACACUUUUGCACUCCUACAAAGAUAACAAGUUGCAGAAUAGAAAAUCACAUUUGUUUUGUUGGAGGUUUACAGGGAUCUGACCCAGGUGAAGAGCUGCAAAAACAAAGGAUUCUAACAACAAAGAAUACCUACACCAAGAAGUCUGCAACAACCAGGCAUUCCCUCUUCCCCUUUUUAAUAUAAAAGGAGCCUGAAUUCUGACUUGGGGAAGAUGGAUCUCCAGAACAUUAGUUGGCCAUCUUCUUGGUCAGCUGGCUUUCUGAAUAAAGCUGCCAUUCCUUGCCCCAAAACCUGGUCUCCCGAUUUACUGGCCUGUCAUGCAGUGAGCAAAACGAGUAUGGACUCGGUAACACAAACAUACAUUGAAAGUAUCCAUUUGGUGUAUUUAAUGAUUUGCUUCCACUGGUCUUUCUUCCUGAAUUUUCCUUUUCUUGCCUACUCCUGCUGUUUAUGAAAAAUCUGUCAGCUGCUCAUGUAGACACAUUUCCAUCUCGAGCCAUUACCCUUCCAGUUUCCAGAGGUCACCCACAUUCCUUAGCUUGUGCCGCACGACUUCCUCCAUCUUCAUGGCCAGCAACCUUUUUGAACACUGCUCCAUGGCUACACCUCCCUCUGACCCUAAACUCGGCUGGGAAAUGUCCUUCGCUUUUAAGGAUCCCUGUGGUUACAAUGGGCCCACCUGGACAAUCCAGGCUACUCACCCUAUCACCUCAUCUCAGGAUCCCCUUUUCACACCCCACUCAGGCAUUAUGAAUGCUGCUGUGACACUCACCUUGGGUAAUGUUUCCUCUCGUGAGCAAUUUAACAUUCAAGACACUGAACAGCUUUUUGUUUUUCUUCCUUAGUUUUUCCACAUUCAGUACGUCGGUGAGAUUGUAUGAAUCCUGUUUAUUUGU